This 720-nucleotide ribosomal RNA is filed under the name uncultured bacterium. RNAcentral describes it as "bacterial SSU rRNA". It matches the Rfam family "Bacterial small subunit ribosomal RNA", at positions 414 to 1122 of the family's 1533-position model. The record is from RNAcentral.
GCUCUCGGGUCGUAAACCUCUYUCAGGUGGGAAGAAAGGUCGAAAAGUAAAUAAUUUUUCGGCUGUGACGGUACCACCAGAAGAAGCUCCGGCUAACUCCGUGCCAGCAGCCGCGGUAAUACGGGGGGAGCAAGCGUUGUUCGGAUUCAUUGGGCGUAAAGGGCGCGUAGGCGGCUUGACAAGUCUGACGUGAAAUGUACCGGUUCAACCGGGGCGCCGUGUCAGAAACUGUCUUGCUUGAGGUCGAGGGAGGAAAGUGGAAUUCCUGGUGUAGCGGUGAAAUGCGUAGAUAUCAGGAGGAACACCCGUGGCGAAGGCGGCUUUCUAUCUCGAAUCUGACGCUGAGGCGCGAAAGCUAGGGGAGCAAACGGGAUUAGAUACCCCGGUAGUCCUAGCCGUAAACGAUGGGCACUAGGUGUGGGAGGUAUCGACCCCUUCCGUGCCGGAGCUAACGCAUUAAGUGCCCCGCCUGGGGAGUACGGUCGCAAGAUUGAAACUCAAAGGAAUUGACGGGGGCCCGCACAAGCGGUGGAGCAUGUGGUUUAAUUCGACGCAACGCGAAGAACCUUACCGGGGCUUGAACUGCAGAGUGCAGCUCUAGAAAUAGAGUGUGCCCUUCGGGGCGUUCUGUAGAGGUGCUGCAUGGCUGUCGUCAGCUCGUGUCGUGAGAUGUUGGGUUAAGUCCCGCAACGAGCGCAACCCUUGCCGUUAGUUGCCAUC